CGGCUUAGAGUUUGAUCCUGGCUCAGAUUGAACGCUGGCGGAAUGCUUUACACAUGCAAGUCGAACGGCAGCACGGGAGCUUGCUCCUGGUGGCGAGUGGCGAACGGGUGAGUAAUACAUAGGAACAUACCCAGUAAUGGGGGAUAACGCCGAGAAAUCGGUGCUAAUACCGCAUACGCCCUAAGGGGGAAAGCGGGGGAUCUUCGGACCUCGCGUUAUUGGAUUGGCCUAUGUCUGAUUAGCUAGUUAGUGAGGUAAAGGCUCACCAAGGCGACGAUCAGUAGCUGGUCUGAGAGGAUGAUCAGCCACACUGGAACUGAGACACGGUCCAGACUCCUACGGGAGGCAGCAGUGGGGAAUUUUGGACAAUGGGCGAAAGCCUGAUCCAGCCAUUCCGCGUGAGUGAAGAAGGCCUUCGGGUUGUAAAGCUCUUUCGGCAGGAACGAAAUGGUUGCGGUUAAU
Molecule: ribosomal RNA, 462 nt
Filed under: uncultured bacterium
Lineage: Bacteria
Description: SSU rRNA
Rfam family: Bacterial small subunit ribosomal RNA
Source: RNAcentral